GAUGAACGCUGGCGGCGUGCCUAAUACAUGCAAGUCGAGCGAACAGGCUUGGAGCUUGCUCCUCUCACGUUAGUGGCGGACGGGUGAGUAACGCGUGGAUAACCUACCUCUUAGACGGGGAUAACUUCGGGAAACCGUAGCUAAUACCGGAUAAUAUUUUGAACCGCAUGGUUCUAUAUUGAAAGGCGGUUUUGCUUUCAUUUAUAGUUGGAUUCGCUCCUCUUUAGCUAGUUGUUAAGUUAACGGCCUACCAAGGCAACGAUGCGUAGCCGACCGAGGAGGGUGAUCGGCAAAACGGGAACGGAGACAGGGCCAGGAUGCCUAGGGGAGGAACAAGUAGGGAACCUUCGGAAAGGGGGGAAAGCUUGACGGAGAAAGGCGGCGUGAGGGAGAAAGGUCUCGGGAUCGAAAAACUCGGUGUAAAGGGAAGAAGAGAUGGGGAAGGAAAAAUGCACGCCGUGACGGUAACUAAUCAGAAAGCCACGGCUAACUACGUG
RNAcentral lists this ribosomal RNA (497 nucleotides) under uncultured bacterium. Its description in RNAcentral is "partial 16S ribosomal RNA". It matches the Rfam family "Bacterial small subunit ribosomal RNA", at positions 28 to 507 of the family's 1533-position model. The record is from RNAcentral.